This is an RNA transcript of Aegilops tauschii subsp. strangulata, 1711 nucleotides long. RefSeq lists it as uncharacterized. The record is from RefSeq and is a predicted model, not a curated record. NCBI's taxonomy places the organism in Eukaryota, Viridiplantae, Streptophyta, Magnoliopsida, Poales, Poaceae.
CCCAUUAAACCACUCCGGCAAGACAAGGACGCUGGGGAAGCGGCGCGGCACCCACGGUGCUCCUCCGGCGAACGGCGGCGAUGGACGGGAGCGACGCCGACCCCGGGACGGGAAGCGGCGGCGGGGGGUUCGAGUGGGAUGCGGAUUCCCAGCUCUACUACCACGCCAGUACUGGGUUUUACCAUGACCCUGUCGCUGGCUGGUACUACAGCAGCACAGAUGGUCAGUACUACAUCUAUGAGAAUGGAGAUUACGUGUUAUGGACUUCAGAUGUGGGCAAGGAACCCAAUGUACAGAGUCCAUGUGAUGAAGCUAGCCAAAGUUUCCUGGAAUCCUCUUCAGGGCCGGAACCGGAUAUUCCACAUCAACCGCCAUCAGAAUGGCUGGAGGAAACACUAAUUAACAUGUAUUUAUCAGGAUACUCUAAUAUAGAGGUCAGCACUGAAAAUUUACUACGAGAAUCACAGAUAAGUGAGGAAGGCAAAAGUGAUGAAGUUGAGAAUAAACUCAGUAACGUGGCUUCAGAUAAUGCGUCAGACUCUCUGAAUGAUGCUACAUUACAGCAAAUAGAAGAUAAAAUGGAAAUCGAGAACUUCACAGCUGUGCAUGAAUCUGUAAGGGAAGAAGAAGAGAAAUGGCUUUCUCAGUAUGGUCAAGUAGAGAGAGUAAAUGAUGAGCUGCCAUUGUUUCCGAGCGUUGAUCUUUGGGACUGGCAUAUGGUCACAGAACCUGAUAGCAAAGGUCAGCCCAUGACUAGGCUUGUGGGACGUUUAACUAGGGGUUCUAGUAAGCUUCAUCCUUCCCUGCCUGCUCGUGGUGGCCUUCUAAGAACCGCUCCUGUGCGUGAAGUUCAUCUUGAUCUUGUACGUGUUUCAUCAGGGAAGCUCUACAGGCUAAGGAACCCAAGCAGAAAAUACCUGGCCUCUUUAUCAGCGUAUGACUCUUCGAAUCCAACAAAAGAUUGGGCUUUUCCUGACCUAUAUGCCAACCCUAAUAACAAUUCAGAUAAGCAGUCUACUGCAUGUUGUCUGUCUGAUGUUGCUCAUGAAUCUUCUACCGGGGAAGGUGUUUCAGCUGCUAGUGGCAAGGAGCACAAGAUAAAUACUUAUAGGGACAGGGCUGCUGAGAGAAGAAAGCUACACCGCGGCUUAGGGAUAGGACCUGGGCAGAAGCAAAGUAACGGCAUGAGUUCUGAUGAAUAUGAAGAGGCAAUCGAGGACAUGGACUCCUUGGGAGCUGGACCAGUUGAUAUGAACUUAUGUUCCAGCGGUUUGAAGUCUGCCAAGAGAAUCAUGGAGAACAUGGGCUGGAAAGAAGGAGAGGCUCUUGGUAAAAGCAGACAGGGUAUUGUAGAACCUAUACAGCCUACUUUCAACAAACAUGGUGCUGGUUUGGGUUGGAGUCAAACCCGCUGAGAUGUUCUAAUCUCUGAACCCCUGUACAUGGUGAUUCCAGCGCACAUUGUUUUUACCUCCAGAGGAUAGGUGUAACAGAUUCAUGAUCAUCGCGGCAGUCCUGACUGUUCCAAGGACAUUGUAUUACUAAUGCAGUAAAGGCACCAGAGGAUACUGUGGAAAUUCGAAUUUCAGCAGCGGUUACCAUAGAUUCACGGAGUUCUUACUCCUUUUGUGACUAAUCUAUUUCGAUUUGUAAAUAUAACAAGAGGAAGCAUUUGAUGUGAUGGUCAAAAUAUCUAUCUGGUGUUAGUUGA